This 1035-nucleotide long non-coding RNA is filed under the name Olea europaea subsp. europaea. The record is from RNAcentral. Lineage: Eukaryota; Viridiplantae; Streptophyta; Magnoliopsida; Lamiales; Oleaceae.
UUUCUUUCCUGAUGCUCGAUUGAGGUGAUUCAAAUUGAGUUGGAAAGUUAACUCAAAGUUUGAUUCAGACAUAAUCUUCUCAUUCGAUGGUUUUCCAUGUCAAAAUUAGGUCCCAAUAUGAGUCUGAAAAUCGGUGCGUAACUUUUUUCAAUUGGGAAUUAAUGUAUGAUCAAACUUUGAUGUUAUUUCAUCCUUUUGACUUCUUUCCUCAUCCACUUGACCUCUAACACUUUAGAAUCUUCAUCAUAAGGUCAAACACAAGUUUAGAAUAUUUAUAUUUUGUUCCCUGAACUUUUAGUUACUUCCAUUUUUGGGCCAUUUUCACUCUUUUCUCCCAAGUUUCACAUUUUAUACCAAAAUACAACCUGAAUCAUAACAUAAGUAUAAUGAGUGCAUUUUGACAUCAAAUAAUCAUACGAAUGCAAUAAUUAAGAAAGAAAAAUACCAUAUUUUACACUCUUAUCAGGGGGUUGUAGCAUGCUUUUUACUCCAAAUGACGUGUUUUGUUGGGAAUGAGAUUAUAGUUAGAAUUGGAAAUGAAAGUCUCCAAUAAAUUCCUUUCUUUACCUGUAUUAGAAUUUGUUGAAAUAUUUCUUUUGGUACUAUGUGUACUAAACCAUUUCAUUAUUAGAAGUUGGAUAGAGUUUUGGAAUGCAAAAGAAUUUUUUUUUUUUCACAAAUCCCUGAGACCUUCAUGAGAACAAGAGUAUUCGAGUAUGACCCCAUCGAACAAAACUCAUCAACCAAUUAGUAUGUUUCCAAGAAAUAUAAAACUUUCUUCUCCUAUAAGCAGUUGGCAGUUUACUAGAAUUAACACAAAUUUGCACAAAUGUGUACUUUGUUGUGUAUCUGAAAAAAGAAGUACAUCUCUCCAACAAAAAAGGAUAGUAAAAAUAUUUACUUUUGACGUACUAUUAUUAGUUAACAUCUGUAUUUCAUUUUCUAAACCUACUAAGUUGUGAAGGCUAGAGGGUUCGGCACAGUCAAAAUAAGUUGCAACUAGCUAACUUUUAGUAGGUCGGCUCCUGACUGAUU